This 523-nucleotide ribosomal RNA is filed under the name uncultured bacterium. RNAcentral's name for it is "partial 16S ribosomal RNA". It matches the Rfam family "Bacterial small subunit ribosomal RNA", at positions 28 to 523 of the family's 1533-position model. The record is from RNAcentral.
GACGAACGCUGGCGGCGUGCCUAAUACAUGCAAGUCGAGCGCAGGAAAUCGACGGAACCCUUCGGGGGGAAGGCGACGGAAUGAGCGGCGGACGGUGAGUAACACGUAAAGAACCUGCCCUCAGGUCUGGGAUAACCACGAGAAGUCGGGGCUAAUACCGGAUGGGUCAUCGGACCGCCUGGUCCGAGGAGGAAAGGCGCUUCGGCGUCGCCUGGGGAUGGCUUUGCGGGGCAUUAGCUAGUUGGUGGGGUAAUGGCCCACCAAGGCGACGAUGCAUAGCCGACCUGAGAGGGUGAUCGGCCACACUGGGACUGAGACACGGCCCAGACUCCUACGGGAGGCAGCAGUAGGGAAUCUUCCACAAUGGACGAAAGUCUGAUGGAGCAACGCCGCGUGAACGAUGAAGGCCUUCGGGUCGUAAAGUUCUGUUGUAAGGGAAGAACAAGUGCCGCAGGCAAUGGCGGCACCUUGACGGUACCUUGCGAGAAAGCCACGGCUAACUACGUGCCAGCAGCCGCGGUAA